Cyprinus carpio (common carp) is the source of this 482-nucleotide long non-coding RNA. The record is from Ensembl. NCBI's taxonomy places the organism in Eukaryota, Metazoa, Chordata, Actinopteri, Cypriniformes, Cyprinidae.
CUCUGACAGGGAGCUAAGCAGUGCUCCCAUGCUCUGCGCCUGCUCCUAAGGGUCUCGACUGAAAUCGAGAGAGGGAAAACCUUCAAGUAUAAUGUUCCUUCAGCUUAAAACCUCAUCUGUAAAGGCAUCCAACCAGACGGCAGAGUUCAAAGCGGGACAGCUGCCAAUCUGAUCCCAGACAUACUGAAAGAACACUGCAAAAUGGCAGGAAAUUCCACUUUGAACAACUCCCAACAACAGCAACAGCACAGAAGAUGCAUUUAAAACCAGGCCAUGAGCCUGUUACAUAAGGGUACAGAGUGAGACUUCAACAAAAGGUGUAUAUUUCUCACGGGGACAAGAAAAAGAGAGCAUGUUGUGGUUAAAAUAGAAAUGCCAACAUAAUUAUAUAUAUAAUAGGCCUAUAUAUGUGUGUGUGUGUGUGUGUGUGUGUGUGUGUGUGUGUGUGUGUGUGUGUGUGUGUGUGUGUGUGUGUGUGUGUG